This 142-nucleotide ribosomal RNA is filed under the name uncultured eukaryote. RNAcentral describes it as "partial 18S ribosomal RNA". It matches the Rfam family "Eukaryotic small subunit ribosomal RNA", at positions 1299 to 1458 of the family's 1831-position model. The record is from RNAcentral.
UGGUGGAGCGAUUUGUCUGGUUUAUUCCGUUAACGAACGAGACCUCGACCUGCUAAAUAGCUCGGCGGACACUUCUGUGUCCGGCCGCGGCUUCUUAGAGGCACAGCCGGUUUCUAGCCGGAGGAAGUUCGAGGCAAUAACA